CUCACAACCUAGUUGUGCCUUGGUUCAGGCACAAAAAACUUCCUUUUAACCUUUUCAUUAUUUGUUCAAAGACAAAAGCUUUGUUCAAAUACGUUUCACUUUAAGGAACUACGUUCCAGAGAUUGAUCUGUAGAUAGGUUUGUAUGAAAUUGCCACGGGGCUAACCAUGUGAAAGACGUUUUCCUCUGAGCUUUCUUAUUUCAAUAUCAAUAAAAUGAAUCAAGCAAUUAGAUCUAAUUCCAUAAACUUGCUUUUGUAAAAAUGUUCUCUUGAACAUCUGUGGUGAAAGGAUUAGAUAAAGACCUAGCUUAUCCAAAGGGAAGGUAAAGGAGACGCUGUGGUCAGUAGCUAGCUUGCUGUUUAUUGUUCAGAAUGCUCUCAUUUCUUUUUCUGCAGUUUUCCUCUUUUGUGAAGCCUUACUGAAGUAUACUAACUUGCUAAAGUUUUCAUAGUGUGCCCCUUCUGUACUUCAUUUAUCACCCAGUUCACGAAAGAAUGUAAACAGAAUCUCAGGUGUCUAACAUGUUACAAAAUCAUAAAAUCAAAAGGUAUCCUUGAGGACAGCCAGUCUCAUAUCUUCUCUGAUUUAGUCAUCUCUCUACAACACCCUUGAGGGGGUCUUCAAAGCUCUUCUUUCAGCGACAAUUAACUCCCUCCCAUGUAAGAUAGUCUGUGGCAUUACUGGAUAGUUUUUAUUAUGGGAAAUUUCUUUCUUGUUUUGAAAUAGAUGGACUCAAAUUCAGAGGAGCAUGCUUGUGGUGGUGUAGAGACAUGGGGUCAUCUCACAUAAGGAGUGUCUGCAAGAGCCGGGGGAUGUUUCUUCUGUUGAAGAGUAUACUCAGAGGGGACAGGCGGCUGAGAAUAUGUAAACGACCAUCCUGUGUAAGGUGGAUUAAAUUCAGUCUGUGUGAUCCCAAAGGUGAUUUUGGCUUACUAAAUGAAUCACUGGCAGAGUUGCUUAAGGAUGGACUGGCUGCUUUGGGAGGUAGUAAGACCCUUACCACCACAGGGAUAAUAGGUCAGCAGACCACUUGACGAGACACCUGCGAUGAUCCUCACACAUUGGGGCGGUGCCGAUAGUAGAAGAUGUGGUUCUAUGAAAUUCUCCCUGCUUACUGGCCCUAGCUUGAAUGCUGUAUUUGUUUUCUAGGGACGACAUAACAGAGUAACACAAACUGGGUGGCUUAAACAACAAAAAUUUGUUGUCUCAUGGUUCUGAAGGUUAAAAGUCAGAAAUCAAGCCUAGGCCUGCCCAGGAAUGGGGGAAGCGUGCUCUGCUCCUUGGUGAUUUCCUAGUUCUGCGUCCCCUUCCACUCCUAGGUGUGAUUUCCUGCUCCUCCAGAGAAGAACAAUAAGAGGUGAGAAAGGUUUUAUUUCACCGAUAUAGUUCUAUCUGGCGAUAAAGUGGGAGCUGCAUUGCUUUUUUGACCCAGCCACAGAAGUCCUGCAGUGUCACUUCUGUCACAUUCUAUUGGUUAAAAAGAGAGUCAUAUGCACACCUAGGGUCAAGGGCAGGGGACCUAGAUAAGAAGUGUGUCAAAGAUGACAGAUAUACAAGUGUUGGCUCGUUUUCUCUUGGGGUGCUUUUUCUCCUGGAAGAUCCUCGUGGUUGAGGACCCGUGACUGCAGUUCCCUUUAAACAAGUACAGUUCCCGUAUCUGGCUGCUUUUGAGUCCCCCAUUAGCCAUAAGCUUCUGGCAACACACCUUUCCACUGUGGGCCUUUGGCUUCUGCAGGUUGACCUUAGGCUCUCUCAGACCCAAGAUCCACAUCUGGGUCCUAGGAGACAAACACCUUUUCCCACUGUCAUUGGAGGUAUAGAGCUUGUCCAAAGCAGCCCUUUCUGCUAUUUACAGUCAGGCUAAUCUAGUCACAGCCUGGCAUCUUCAGAUUUCUCCCAGCAGAGUCCGCUCUCUAGUCUCCCAAUCUUCAGAGACUGUAGACUAAGCUCUUUGAGAGGUUCUUAGAAGUUCCUCUCACCUGAAUUAAGGUAAGGGAAAGUACUUUCUCCUCCCCUCCCCCAAUCCCCUCUUUAGCAUCCAGAGCUCUUUCCAAAGGCAUUCUCUCUAUAGACUUCUCUAGUUUCAUCAUUUAGUGAGAUGGAGGUGGGAGACUGAGCGAUGUUGGUGGAAUCAGUGUCACAGACCUUAGGAUGUUUUCCUUGUUGUCUAGUACCUCAAUUUAGACACUCAGGGCCACUGGUGAAACCCCAAGACAAAAGAGUCUUAUAUUAAUAUCUUUCUGCCUUCAACAAAGAUUAAUCAAGCAGAAAUGCCACUUCCCCCAUAGUGGUGUUUAAUAAAUCCAGAAAACCACUGGUCAGGCUUGCCCAAGUUUAGAGGAAGGAUUUUCAGGAGUAUUUAUUUCAAAGUCAACGGAGGUUGCAUGGCAUUUUAAGAGAAGUUUGUGAGAAGAAACUUGAGAGGGGAAUGGAGGGUGAGAUUUCAAGAGGGCAGUGUUCUCUUUGUAAUCCAAAUCCUUGCCUCCUCUAAUCUACUCUUUACCGUGUGGUGCAGGGGCGAUGCUAAAAUGAAAACCUAUUUGUGUAAUUCCCCUUUAAUGAUGUUUUUAUCUCCUUUAAAAG
Equus caballus (horse) is the source of this 2584-nucleotide long non-coding RNA. The record is from Ensembl. NCBI's taxonomy places the organism in Eukaryota, Metazoa, Chordata, Mammalia, Perissodactyla, Equidae.